Molecule: ribosomal RNA, 465 nt
Filed under: Vreelandella stevensii
Lineage: Bacteria; Pseudomonadati; Pseudomonadota; Gammaproteobacteria; Oceanospirillales; Halomonadaceae
Description: partial 16S ribosomal RNA
Rfam family: Bacterial small subunit ribosomal RNA
Source: RNAcentral
CCUACGGGCGGCAGCAGUGGGGAAUAUUGGACAAUGGGGGGAACCCUGAUCCAGCCAUGCCGCGUGUGUGAAGAAGGCCCUCGGGUUGUAAAGCACUUUCAGUGAGGAAGAACGCCUGGUGGUUAAUACCCAUCAGGAAAGACAUCACUCACAGAAGAAGCACCGGCUAACUCCGUGCCAGCAGCCGCGGUAAUACGGAGGGUGCGAGCGUUAAUCGGAAUUACUGGGCGUAAAGCGCGCGUAGGUGGCUUGAUAAGCCGGUUGUGAAAGCCCCGGGCUCAACCUGGGAACGGCAUCCGGAACUGUCAAGCUAGAGUGCAGGAGAGGAAGGUAGAAUUCCCUGUGUAGCGGUGAAAUGCGUAGAGAUCGGGAGGAAUACCAGUGGCGAAGGCGGCCUUCUGGACUGACACUGACACUGAGGUGCGAAAGCGUGGGUAGCAAACAGGAUUAGAUACCCUAGUAGUC